UUCAACCUCACCUUGUUUUAACAUUUACGUGAUAGAAAGAUACGUUUGGUUGAUGGACUGGAUGAUAACGUUAUGGACUCCAGAAGAUCUGGGUGACGACAGGGCUGGAUGACAGCAAGGUCGCCAUGGUGACCAGAUCCUGCCAUGCAACCAGAGAGCAGUCAGCUGAUGGAGUUUCACCAUAUGACCUCAUCGUUGGCAGGUGAGACUCUGUCAGUGGCUGCCAGGAUCAGCUGCUGAUGUCAUCAUGUGUGGUUUCCUGUUUCUGAGCAGAUGUGGCGAAGACUUGACGGAGGAGCAGGAGGAGGAAAGCGACGAGGGAACGUCCAACUCCUUCUCUUUCAACAUGUUCCAGUUCUCCAGGAAGGAUGGCGAGAUCUAGCUGAAGUGUGAAGUGGAGCUGCGCCUCACAGAGGAGCAAAGCUGCUCUCAGAGCUGUAACGAUGGAGGCAAAAGGAGGUGCAGAUCCUUCAGGUCUAGAUAUGAUAGAAACUCGGCCCUCAUCACGAUGUCCUGGAAUAAUUAAAGACAGCUUCCCUUCUGAUGGAUUACACGGUGAGUCCUCACUUGAGCUUCGUCCCAACAAGGAGCCUGAAGAGUCUGAAGUUAUCGUCGCUGUGAAACCACGCCGGCAGAUAAUCUUCAUCUGAUCCACCUGAGAUGGCGUUUAUCAUCUCUGCUGAAUCUGUGGGCCGCUGAUUCAACCCACUGAUUCAUGCACAUAUAAUCUGUGGUGAAAUAAUGGAAGUGAAGAGCAAAGAAGAACAAAAAUACAGUGAAACUUCACUUAAUAGCUUCACUGACUGAAGUCAACAGGCCUGUAUUUGAGACAGGCCUUUAAUUCCUGUCACACAAACUGCUGCUCAGCAAAGAUCAGGAAAUACAGUCCAAGUGUUUUUAAACCAGUCUGAAUAUUAGUUCUUUAAGAAUUAGGCUCCAGAUAACAUAUAAAUUAUGAGUCAUUAAUUUGGUCUAACUCUGACAGACGGAGCAUCAGAGAGAGUUACAGCACUGGGAACACCGACACAAAACCACUUUGUCCUGAUAAAACAAUCCUCACAACUUGGAUUCAUUUUUAUGGAUGAACCUUUUGACCUGAGGACCCCGACAGACUGAAGGAAUAUGAAUAACUUACAGGGUAAUCCAGGAAUGGACACAUCAUUUGAGGUAGACAACAACCCGGGUUUAAACAUCCGAAGAACUUGUAUAAAGAAAAUGAACUGCUUGGCAACCAGACCAGGCCUCUAAUUGAGACGGGCCUUUAUUGGUCAACAUGUGUCUGGUUAAAGGGACUGGGUGUUAAACUGAAGUUUUACAGUAAUCAGUGAAAUAAUGGAAGUGCAGUUAGGAACAAAAAUAAUCAGGGUUUAAAGGGUUUCAUUUACUCUGUGCACUACUUCCUUCGGUUGGUUCCUUUAAAAUAUAAAGUUUGGAAUCAGCUGUUCCAUCAAUGUUUUUUUCUGGAUUUCUUCAGUAAUGACUCAUUUUAUUUUAUUUUUCUUAAAAAAAGAUUUGAAUCAGACUCUAAAUGUGUUAUUUGGAUUUGAAAUAGUUUUUGGCCACAGAAGAAGAAGAAUGAAAUGAGUGGAUGUCCCCACAGUGUCUCAUGACAGGGGACAAUACUGUGUAAACAUGGACGUUGAAUUUGUCCUCCAGUCCAGACAGUCUUCACAGUUUAUCAUGUUUAGAAAAAUGUGUGUCAGUGUCAGUACCAGUAUUCAGCCAGUAGAUGGAGACAUAGACGGUAGAAUCAAAGGCUGUGUUCAAGUCUGCAGGCUGAUCAACUGACUCUGUAGAUAAUAGAUGAGCUGAUCAUGUGACCUUCACCUGCAUAUGACUUAUUAAAGAGUAAAGCUGUCCUUUGAGGGCUUUGAAUGGAUCAUCUGCAGGCUCUCAGUUAAGCCUGGGAUAUUGUAGUGGAGAACAAUCCGUUCAGAUUUACCUUUUUACAACUUUAACAUGAAUUAAAAAUGACAUCAAGUAUUUUUAGAGUGUAAAAACCUUCACAUGUAAAGAACACCACGACAGGUAAACUACACAGAGAAGUGAGUCAUAUGUC
Epinephelus fuscoguttatus (brown-marbled grouper) is the source of this 2059-nucleotide long non-coding RNA. RefSeq lists it as uncharacterized. The transcript is spliced from 3 exons. The record is from RefSeq and is a predicted model, not a curated record. NCBI's taxonomy places the organism in Eukaryota, Metazoa, Chordata, Actinopteri, Perciformes, Serranidae.